UCUUCUUCAAAUUCAAAAUGUAGAACACGUCCAGCGCAUUCUUAGUGUUGAACCUGAAACGGUCCAUUAAAUCGGACGCCAUGUUUACCCAGCUUGUCCACUUCUUCGCAUCCUGGCUGAUGUACCAAGAUAAAGCAUCCCCUUUCAAACUUCUCAUGAAUAGUUUCAUGGGGAUCUUCUCAUCCUUACCAACUCCCACUAAUUUGUCACAAUACAUUAUGAGGUGAACCCUGGGAUCACCUGUACCAUCGAACAUCUCGAACUUAGGAGGUUUGUACCCCUCCGGGAGUUCGACAUCAGGCUAAACACAAAGGUAUUCAUAAUUCAAACUAUCCACACCCUUAUCACCUUCCACACAUUGGACCCUGUAAAUGAGUUUCUUGAGUUCCACCGCCAAGUUCUGCAUUAGUGAAUCUGACUCUGAAAUAUCAGGUAUGGGCUAUGUAUAAUGGGGCACAGUAUCCACAAAGAUAGGGGUAUCCUGGUGGUUUAGAGCAUUCUGAGGCUUAGGGAUGAGCGGUGGAGCAUUGUUGCGAACCUGGG
This 543-nucleotide long non-coding RNA is filed under the name Nicotiana benthamiana. RNAcentral's name for it is "long non-coding RNA (NBEN_LNC018886)". The record is from RNAcentral. Lineage: Eukaryota; Viridiplantae; Streptophyta; Magnoliopsida; Solanales; Solanaceae.